AGUAUAGAUAGAGAUCUUAGAAAAUUUACCAAAUUCGAUAAUCUUCCUUUAGCAAUAAACACACAGAUGCACAGAUAUUCACACGACACUUGUAAAAGUUAAAUUUCUACAAUGUCAGCGAUUCUCCCCUAAAUAAGACGCACAAACGUUGAAUUUCUAAAAAUAAAACGAAAUUACUCCGCAUCUUCAUUAUACGCUUUAUCUUCUUUGACGCACUUGAUGCACAUUUUGUAUGGAAAUGACCGACGUAUGUUUAAAUUGCUGAAUCGAAACUUUUAGGUUUGAUCGAGAGAAGAGAAAAAAAAAAGAAAAAGAAAAAGGAAAAAAAGAAACGAUACUGUCAGAAACAUAACUGCGCCAUGAAACUGAUUUCGUUUCCUUUUUUCCCUCUGCUUCCCUUCUUUUUUUCUCUCUCGAUAAGGUUACAUUCACGUUCGAAAUUCGCGACGCGAAACGUGUGUACGUGUGUACAUACAACAAAAAUCGUAAAGCGUGAUGUAAGAAGAGCGUAAUGUUAAUUCAGAUAAAUCCUUGUCGAACCGAGAUGAACCCGCAACAUCUUAUCUACCAUUGAUAAUGUCGUCGCAAUCGGUCAGAUUUAUAUCAGAAAUAAUUCAACGAUAGUACGUCUAGUAAUUGGAGAUAUUCUUGGCACGCGAGAUAUCUCGAUCUUCCUUCGAGCAGUUAAUAUUACCAAAAUUGUUUAAAAUUGAACGAGGGAUAUAUAACAAAUUAAGGAUAUAUUAAUUCAAUAUAUUAUUAAAUAAGUAAAUCAAUUAUUUCAUUAUUGACUGUAAUAUUACUUGUACGACACUUUAUUACAGAAUUAAAUGCCCAAAAGGGUUAGUCUUUCUCAUUUUGUUUCAACUUUUUUAUUAGGUGAGAAAAGUUUGAACAAACUGUGAAAUAUCUUGUCACUUUCACGCAUCUUAAUUUCUGCUGUGACUCUCGAACUUUUGUCUCGAUUUACAUUGCUUUUUUAUUUUAAUCCAAAGUCCAGAAAAAAAAUUGUUUGUCAACUGUUUUUUUGGAAUGUUUCAAGUGCAAAAUCGAAUCGAAAAAUUCAAAUAUCAAUAACGACUUUCCUUAACCUACCUAACCUAAUCUAACCUAAACCUACAAAAAUUUUCCAAUGAUAAAUGGUUAUUACAACUCGAACAAUUCAGUAUGAUUCAAUCGUUAAUGAGCAAACGAAUAAACGAGUCAAAUGUUGCAAUGAAAUCAUUAAUAUUUACUUUCUAUGAAAAGUUGAAAACAUGCAUUUCUUUAUACUGGUGAUUGUGAAUAAAACGACAAUUACUUUCGAAAUUGUUUAUUCUAAAUUCGAUAAAGAGUGAAAGAUGUACAGGCUAGAUCAAACACGAUUCACGAAGAUGUUUUGAGCGUCGAAUACGUCAUAGUAUUCUGGAUUUCAUUCAAAAAAUUACGUAUAUAGUACAAUUUGCAGCAUCUAAUCCGGUUAGAUGAACUUGAUAACCCAGUAAAUGUAGCCAAAUGAAUUCAUGUAACAAACAGUUUCUAGUACUGAUUGUGGAAGUUAAAC
Molecule: long non-coding RNA, 1543 nt
Organism: Frieseomelitta varia
Lineage: Eukaryota; Metazoa; Arthropoda; Insecta; Hymenoptera; Apidae
Exons: 2
Source: RefSeq, a predicted model, not a curated record